RNAcentral lists this long non-coding RNA (287 nucleotides) under Lathyrus oleraceus (garden pea). RNAcentral describes it as "Pisum sativum (pea) long non-coding RNA (PSAT_LNC001405)". The record is from RNAcentral. Lineage: Eukaryota; Viridiplantae; Streptophyta; Magnoliopsida; Fabales; Fabaceae.
UUUGCUCUUCCCCAUAGAUUAUUAGUUUCCCAAAAUCUUUUCUCACUUCUUAUUUUCUACGUUUCCUCUUUUUCUUUCUCCAUAUUUUCUUCUUCUUUCUCCCCUCCCACUAUUUUUCUUCCACCAAAAACCAUUAUGACACCAUUCAUUCAAAAGAUAAUAUUUUUUAAUUUUAUUAAGGUUAAAACUAUAACUUGUUUUUUUUAUUAUUUGAUUUUUUUUUUUUGACAAAGACUCAAGAGCUUGAUCACUAUAAGGUAUGUAUUGUUUGAUUUUUUGUAGGUUGA